AGGACGACGCUGGCGGCGUGCCUAAUACAUGCAAGUCGAACGGUCUUUUCUAUGGAAGCUUGCUUCCACUGAAAAGAUAGUGGCGAACGGGUGAGUAACACGUGGGUAACCUGCCCACAAGAGGGGGAUAACAUCCGGAAACGGGUGCUAAUACCGCAUAGUUUUCUUGAUCGCAUGAUCGGGAAAGGAAAGACGGCCUUUGUGCUGUCGCUUAUGGAUGGACCCGCGGCGUAUUAGUUAGUUGGUAAGGUAACGGCUCACCAAGACGAUGAUACGUAGCCGACCUGAGAGGGUGAUCGGCCACAUUGGGACUGAGACACGGCCCAAACUCCUACGGGAGGCAGCAGUAGGGAAUCUUCCGCAAUGGACGAAAGUCUGACGGAGCAACGCCGCGUGAGUGAAAGAAGGUUUUCGGAUCGUAAAACUCUGUUGUCAGAGAAGAACAAGUUGGAGAGUAACUGCUCCAGCCUUGACGGUAUCUGACCAGAAAGCCACGGCUAACUACGUGCCAGCCGCGGC
Molecule: ribosomal RNA, 519 nt
Filed under: uncultured bacterium
Lineage: Bacteria
Description: bacterial SSU rRNA
Rfam family: Bacterial small subunit ribosomal RNA
Source: RNAcentral